AUUGAACGCUGGCGGCAGGCCUAACACAUGCAAGUCGAACGGUAACAGGAAGCAGCUUGCUGCUUUGCUGCCGAGUGGCGGCCGGGUGAGUAAUGUCUGGGAAACUGCCUGAUGGAGGGGGAUAACUACUGGAAACGGUAGCUAAUACCGCAUAACGUCGCAAGACCAAAGAGGGGGACCUUCGGGCCUCUUGCCAUCGGAUGUGCCCAGAUGGGAUUAGCUAGUAGGUGGGGUAACGGCUCACCUAGGCGACGAUCCCUAGCUGGUCUGAGAGGAUGACCAGCCACACUGGAACUGAGACACGGUCCAGACUCCUACGGGAGGCAGCAGUGGGGAAUAUUGCACAAUGGGCGCAAGCCUGAUGCAGCCAUGCCGCGUGUAUGAAGAAGGCCUUCGGGUUGUAAAGUACUUUCAGCGGGGAGGAAGGGAGUAAAGUUAAUACCUUUGCUCAUUGACGUUACCCGCAGAAGAAGCACCGGCUAACUCCGUG
Molecule: ribosomal RNA, 490 nt
Filed under: uncultured bacterium
Lineage: Bacteria
Description: partial 16S ribosomal RNA
Rfam family: Bacterial small subunit ribosomal RNA
Source: RNAcentral